GUGCAUUAUGCUGCGCACUUGACUUGCAAAUUAUGAAGAGAGCAGCGGCUGGGAGAGAGAGGAGGUCAGGAGCACGGAGGAAGAGCAUGCUCCGCCUCCACAGUCAUCCGCGGAAGGAUCCGCACAGUGAGUGUGAGGGAGGAGGUCAGUGCUGGUAUCAAGGUCGGCAGACUGGGACACUGUCAGGAGGUUCCAGGGAGCAGCAAGCUUUAAUGUGAG
Molecule: non-coding RNA, 219 nt
Organism: Pelobates cultripes (western spadefoot toad)
Lineage: Eukaryota; Metazoa; Chordata; Amphibia; Anura; Pelobatidae
Source: the annotation of a GenBank genome assembly